Molecule: ribosomal RNA, 489 nt
Filed under: uncultured Glomeraceae
Lineage: Eukaryota; Fungi; Glomeromycota; Glomeromycetes; Glomerales; Glomeraceae
Description: SSU rRNA
Rfam family: Eukaryotic small subunit ribosomal RNA
Source: RNAcentral
GUUGUUGCAGUUAAAAAGCCCGUAGUUGAAUUUCGGAAUCAAUGUUUCGGUCAUGCCGUUGGUAUGUACUGAUAUUAUUGAUUUCUCACCUUCUAAAGAACCGUAAUGCCAUUAAUUUGGUGUCACGGGGAAUUAGGACUGUUACCUUGAAAAAAUUAGAGUGUUUAAAGCAGGCUCACGCUUGAAUACAUUAGCAUGGAAUAAUGAAAUAGGACAUCCGAUUCUAUUUUGUUGGUUUCUAGGAUCGAUGUAAUGAUUAAUAGGGAUAGUUGGGGGCAUUAGUAUUCAAUUGUCAGAGGUGAAAUUCUUGGAUUUAUUGAAGACUAACUACUGCGAAAGCAUUUGCCAAGGAUGUUUUCAUUAAUCAAGAACGAAAGUUAGGGGAUCGAAGACGAUCAGAUACCGUCGUAGUCUUAACCAUAAACUAUGCCGACUAGGGAUCGGAUGAUGUUAAUUUUUUAAUGACUCAUUCGGCGCCUUACGGGAAAC